CGUACACUCCUGCGGGAGGCAGCAGUGGGGAAUAUUGCACAAUGGGCGCAAGCCUGAUGCAGCCAUGCCGCGUGUAUGAAGAAGGCCUUCGGGUUGUAAAGUACUUUCAGCGGGGAGGAAGGCAAUACGGUUAAUAACCGUGUUGAUUGACGUUACCCGCAGAAGAAGCACCGGCUAACUCCGUGCCAGCAGCCGCGGUAAUACGGAGGGUGCAAGCGUUAAUCGGAAUUACUGGGCGUAAAGCGCACGCAGGCGGUCUGUCAAGUCGGAUGUGAAAUCCCCGGGCUCAACCUGGGAACUGCAUUCGAAACUGGCAGGCUUGAGUCUUGUAGAGGGGGGUAGAAUUCCAGGUGUAGCGGUGAAAUGCGUAGAGAUCUGGAGGAAUACCGGUGGCGAAGGCGGCCCCCUGGACAAAGACUGACGCUCAGGUGCGAAAGCGUGGGGAGCAAACAGGAUUAGAAACCCGGGUAGUCCCA
Molecule: ribosomal RNA, 476 nt
Filed under: uncultured organism
Description: partial 16S ribosomal RNA
Rfam family: Bacterial small subunit ribosomal RNA
Source: RNAcentral